AUUGAACGCUGGCGGCAGGCCUAACACAUGCAAGUCGAGCGGAUGACAGGAGCUUGCUCCUGAAUUCAGCGGCGGACGGGUGAGUAAUGCCUAGGAAUCUGCCUGGUAGUGGGGGACAACGUUUCGAAAGGAACGCUAAUACCGCAUACGUCCUACGGGAGAAAGCAGGGGACCUUCGGGCCUUGCGCUAUCAGAUGAGCCUAGGUCGGAUUAGCUAGUUGGUGAGGUAAUGGCUCACCAAGGCGACGAUCCGUAACUGGUCUGAGAGGAUGAUCAGUCACACUGGAACUGAGACACGGUCCAGACUCCUACGGGAGGCAGCAGUGGGGAAUAUUGGACAAUGGGCGAAAGCCUGAUCCAGCCAUGCCGCGUGUGUGAAGAAGGUCUUCGGAUUGUAAAGCACUUUAAGUUGGGAGAAGGGCAUUAACCUAAUACGUUAGUGUUUUGACGUUACCGACAGAAUAAGCACCGGCUAACUCUGUGCC
This 485-nucleotide ribosomal RNA is filed under the name uncultured bacterium. Its description in RNAcentral is "bacterial SSU rRNA". It matches the Rfam family "Bacterial small subunit ribosomal RNA", at positions 30 to 509 of the family's 1533-position model. The record is from RNAcentral.